UCUUCCCCGCCACCUUUUAGGCCCCUCUCUAGGAAUCUGUACUCCUUCCCUUUAACCCUUGGAGUGUCUCUGCCCAGGAAGCAGCAGGAAAGGGGGAAAUCUCUCCUUCCUCCUCGUCAUCUUCGCCAGUCCGGAGAGAAGAACAGCAGAGGGAGGCAUUUGCUAAAGAGACCGGAAGCAGGCUCUCUCCGAGUGGGGGCUCUUUUCCCUCCACCACCCCCGGUCCUUCAAGCCCUUUCCCGCCUUGCCUUGCCUUGCCUUGCUUCGUGUCCUGCUGCUGCACCCCAGCUGCACUUUGAGGACCCUGGGAGGGAGCUGCUGUGCUGCGGCUGCAGGGAGAAGCAGAGUUUUGCAUAUAAAUUAUUUGCUGGUAUCUAAACUGCAGUAACUUCCACCCUGACAAGGACUCAUUGGCCUUGUGAGACCAAGCAGUGACAUUUCUUGGCAAUUCCUGGGAAUUAAAGUGGUAUUGAAGGAGAGAUUUGGGCCAUGUUAGGAGCUUGAUUUGAGCUCCGAGAGAAAAUGGAUUUGCAGAACCCCGCAAACAAUGAAUUGUGGAAGAGAGCAGAAAAAGACCCUGGAGCCAUCCCGCCUGGGGGUGACAGGAAUUGGGAAAUAACCAUGCAGAGGAUCCAGGGAGGCGCCAGCACCAACUCAGAUGUCCAGCGCUGGAGAUUCAGGCAGUUCCGCUACCAGGAUGCUGAGGGACCCCGAGAGGUUUGCAGCCGACUCCACCACCUUUGCUGUCAGUGGCUGAAGCCAGAGAGACAUACAAAAGCUCAGAUGCUGGACCUGGUAAUCCUGGAGCAGUUCCUGACUGUCCUGCCCCCGGAGAUGGAGAGCUGGGUCAGAGAAUGUGGAGCAGAGACCAGUUCCCAGGCAGUGGCCCUGGCAGAAGGUUUCCUCCUGAGCCAGGCAGAAGAGAAGAGGCAGGAGGAGCAGCCGGCACUGGGUAUGUUAGCUAACGUGGCCACUGAUCCCCUGCGGCCAGAGAAGGCUCCAUCAGACACCAGGCAGAGGCUGCUACUCAGGGGGUUCAUGAGGAAGGAGGAGGAGGAGGAUAGAGGAACCACCUCACUGGGCAGUGAAAUGACUCUGGAGAUUCCUUCUAGGCCUUCUCUUCUUGGUGGUGGAGUGGAAGGGGUUGCUGUGCAGUCACUGGAUCUGGGACCGGUGAGCUUUGAGGAGGUGGCUGUGUGUUUCUCCGAGGAGGAGUGGGCUCUGCUGCAUCCAGGCCAAAGAGUUCUGCACAGAGAAGUCAUGGAGGAGACUUCUGGGCAUCUGGCCUCUCUGGGUAAUCAGAGGAAGAACAGAAAAAAGCAGGAAGCAUCAAGACGAAAACCCGAAGAAACAGAGGAGGAGGAGAUGGCAGCUUCUGAGUGGACCGACUUCUAUGCAAUUCCAGUUCAAGAUAAGACUAGUAACAACACUCUAAGCGGAAACACUUUAAAUAAUAAAUCACACCUUAGUGCACAUCACACCACCCAUAGAAGAGUGAAAACAUAUCAAUGCACAAUGUGUGGGAAUGGCUUCAGCGAUCAGUUGAACUUUGAUGAACACCAAAGAACCCACACAGGAAAGAAACCAUGCUUGGAGUGUGGAAAGUGCUUCAGUCACGACAGUGCCCUUGCUGGCCCCCAGUGUGUCUGCAAAGGAGAGAAACCAGAUACAUGCUCCAAGUAUGGAAAGAGCUUCAGUGGCAGAGAUAAGCUUCCUUCCCAUCAAGGUCACCACACAGGAGAGAAACCCUAUACAUGCUCAGUGUGUGGGAAGACAUACUGUCGGAAGGAUAAACUUUCUGCCCAUCAAAGGAUCCAUACAGGGGAGAAACCGUAUACAUGCUCAGAGUGUGGAAAGAGUUUCCGUCGGAAGGACAUACUUUCUGCCCAUCAAAGGAUCCACACAGGGGAGAAACUAUAUACGUGCUCAGAGUGUGGAAAGACUUUCAGUUGGAAGAGCCAGCUUUCUGCCCAUCAAAGAAUCCACACAGGGGAGAAACCGUAUACAUGCUCAGUGUGUGGGAAGAGUUUCAAUUUGAAGUGCAAUCUGUCUGUCCAUCAAAGAACCCACACAGCAGAGGGACCAUGGUUGGAGUGUGGAAGGUGCUUCAGUCAUGACAAUGCCCUUGCUGUCCCCCAGUGUGUCUGCAAAGGAGAGAAACUAGAUACAUGCUUCACAUACGGAAAGAGCUUAAGCGAUGGAGAUAAGCUUCCUUCCUACCUAAGUCGCCAGACAGGAGAGAAACCCUAUAUAUGCUCAGAGUGUGGGAAAAGCUUUAGACAGAAGGGCCAGUUUUCUGUCCACCAGAGAAUCCACACAGGGGAGAAACCAUAUACAUGUUCAGCUUGUGGAAAGAACUUCAAUCGCAACUCUAACCUUACUCUCCAUCAAAGAAUCCAUACAGGAGAGAAACCAUACACAUGUUCAGAGUGUGGAAAGAUCUUCAGUUAUGUCUCUAACCUUACAGUCCAUCAAAGAAUCCAUACAGGAGAGAAACCAUAUACAUGCUCAGAGUGUGGAAAGAGCUUCAGGCAGAAAGACAAACUUGAUGUCCAUCAACGAAACCACACAGGGGAUAAACCAUUUACAUGCUCAGAGUGUGGAAGGAGCUUCAGUCGGAAGGACAAGCUUUCUGUCCAUCAACGAAACCACACAGGGGAAAAACCAUAUUCAUGCUCAGUGUGUGGAAAGAACUUCAAUGAGAAGCGCCAGCUUUCUGCCCAUCUAAGAAUCCACACAGGGGAGAAACCGUAUACAUGCUCAGAGUGUGGAAAGAGCUUCUAUGAAAAGCGUCAGCUUUCUACCCAUCAAAGAAUCCACUCAGGGGUUAGACCGUAUACAUGCUCAGAGUGUGAAAAGUGCUUCUAUGAGAAAGUGCAGCUUUCUGUCCAUCAAAGAAUCCACACAGGAGAAAAACCGUAUACAUGCUCAGAGUGUGGAAAGAGCUUCAGUCGGAAUGGGAGGCUUUCUACCCAUCAGAAAAUCCACACAGGGGAGAAUAUGUACACGUCCUCAAGAGUGCGGAAAGAGCUUCAGUAGGAAGAACUAUCUUUCUGCCCAUCAAAAUAUCAACACAGGGUAGAAACCAUAUACCUGCUCAGAGUGUGGAAACAGCUUCGGCUACAACUAAAACCUUACCUGCCAUUAGGGAUGUGCAUGGAACCGGUUCGGCACUCCCUUCCUGGAGCCUACCUGUCAGCCCACGCCCUGCUACCUGUCAGCUCCCUUCCUGGAACGCUGAACCAGUUCCGUCCACUGGCGUUCAAACCUUUUUGGAGGGCAGGGGUGCCUACCUGUCAGACCUCGCCUUUCCCCCCAAUGGCGGUCUCCAGAAAAGAGUUCCUGCUUGCAGCCCCAGCAGGUAAAGAGCGCCUUCCCUGUCAUUUAAAGCAACCCCCCCCCCGUCCUCCCAGGAGUGCACGAAUUGGUUCUCUGCACAUCCCUACUUCCCGGGACAUAAUCCACACAGGGGAGGAAACAUAUACAUGCUCAGAGUGUGGAAAGAGCUUCAGUGGCAACUCAAGCCUUACCUCCCAUUACAAAGUCCACACAGGAGAGAAACCAUCUAAAUGCUAAGAGCAGAGAAAGAGCUUUUUUCAGUGGAGAAAACUUACUUUGCACUUAAAAAAAAGAAUCCUUACAGAAGAGAAACCAUAUGUUUGUACAAGAAACAGAGCUUCAGGAAGGAAAAGGAAAGGUUGUGCCGUCCAGUCGGUAUUGACUCCUGGUGACCACAGAGCCCUGUGGUUUUCUUGGUAGAAUACAGGUGGGGUUUACCAUUGCCUCCCCACGAGCAGUAUGAGAGGAUGCCUUUCAGCAUCUUCCUAUAUCACUGCUGCCCAAUAUAGGUGUUUCCCAUAUUCUGGGAAACACACCAGCCGGGAUUUGAACCAGCAGCCACCUCCUCUCUAGGCAGGUCACUUCCGCGCUGGCCAAAGGUGUCAGGACCUGACUUCCCACUAAGCUGUGCGACUGCGUGUGUGCUCACAGAGCUCAACCCCUCCCUUCACAGCGAUCACGAACAGCCACUCACUCCAUUCUCUGGAGUGAUAUUAAACAUUAAACAAUAUUUAAAUAUUAAAUAUUAUAUUUAUAUUUUUAUAUUUAAUAUUUAAUAUUAAACAAUAUUUAAUUGUUGUUUUAUGAUGUUUUUAAUUGUUAAUUAUUGUUUUAUGUUUUAUAAUUUUUGUUUUAAUGAUUAAUUGAUUUGAAUGGUGUUUUAAUGUAAACCGCCCUGAGCCUUUUGGAAGGAUGGUAUAAAAGUUAUUAUUAUUAUUAUUAUUAUUAUUAAUAAUAAUAAUAAUAAUAAUAAUAAUAAAUGGGCAGAUGGGCUCCGGGGGUCCCAGCAUGCAUUGCACGGGCUCUGUAGAGUUCCCUCCUCCUUGCUCCGCUCCUUUCAGCAUCUUCCUAUAUCACUGCUGCCCAAUAUAGGUGUUUCCCAUAUUCUCGGAAACCCAAUAUAGGUGUUUCCCAUAUUCUGGGAAACACACCAGCCGGGAUUUGAACCAGCAGCCACCUCCUCUCUAGGCAGGUUACAUCCCCGCUGGGCAAAGCUGUCAGGACCUGACUUCCCACUAAGCUGUGCGGCUGCGUGUGUGCUCACAGAGCUCAACCCCUCCCUUCACAGCGAUCACGAACAGCCACUCACUCCAGUCUCUGGAGGCAAAAGGGCAGAUGGGCUCUGGGGGUCCCAGCAUGCAUUGCACGGGCUCUGUAGAGUUCCCUCCUCCUUGCUCCGCUCCACAGGCCUGAGCUGGGAAGGAAGGCUGCUGGGGACAGGGCAGGCAAGAAGGGAGGACUUGUGGACACCCCUCUCCCUCCCCAACCCUGUCCUUGAGAGGCUGCGGCCUGUAGAGCCUUCCUGAUUGGCUGCUCCAGGCUCCCUGAAGGAGGUCAGCACUGGGAGGACGGGGGAAUUUAAAGAGCAACAUUGGUCUCCAACUUGGUGGGGAAGGAAAGGAGUGUAGCUAGAGGGAGUGUGUGUACAGACCAUGUUCUUUUUCUCUCUGGAAACGGUUAUCCCAAAUGACAGACUAAAGGCUGGUUGAGAGUAGCUUCAAGGGGGCUUACUCCCAAAGUACGUGUGCACAGAACUUUCAGUACCACUACCAUUGGAGUUUCCAGUUCGUAUAUUCAGGGUGAGUUCCUGUAAGUUCCUUUUCUUACAGGAAGCCCUUCACCUACUUGAGUCACCAACAGAAGCUCUCCUCCUAUUGACUCAGGGAAGACUCUUCGAGGCAUUUGAUGUGAAAGGAAGUCCUCCUAUAUCAGUGAAAUCUCCCUUUGAUGAAUUUAGAUGCACCAUUACCUAAAAGCAAGUAUUUCGCUAUAGCCAGGCUGUGUAUUGCAUCCCCCUCCCCCCGUGGGUAUUUAGGUAGUUACAGGCACAGCGGAGCCACUUAAAGGUGCAGCAGGGAAGAAACUUCCGUAGGGAGCAAGAGGUUGCCGGUUCGAAUCCCCACUGGUACCUAUAUUGGGCAGCAGCAAUAUAGGAAGAUGCUGAAAAGCAUCAUCUCAUACUGCACGGGCAAUGGAAAACCCUUCCUGUAUUCCACCAAAGACAACCGCAGGGCUCUGUGGCCACCAGGAGUCGACACUGACUCGACGGCACACUUUACUUUACAGGUACAGCAGAAGAGUUUGCAGAUCAGUGUUCUUUCCACUUUUGCAUUUCCCUCUCUCUCCUGUCUAUAAUGAAUCUUUUCACCAAAAAUUCUACUAUUCGCAAGCCAUCACCUGAAAUAUCUGAGCCAUUUUGUGGAUAUGAGGAGAUCCUGCCUCACUGCAGGGAUUCCUGAAACCUUCAGAUCCCAUCCAGGAUUCUGUGCAAUGAAGUAUGCUGGGUGGGGCUUUAACCUCAAGUGUGUGGAGCACAAAGUGUAGCACCAUCGUAAACUCAGUCAGCGCACUGCUGCCCAUGAAUGAUCCAGUCUUUUUCCAGCCAGUAUUACUGUUUUUAAACAGAAGUGUAGUUUGCACUUUUAAACAACUGUUUGUUUAGGUAUUGUUCAGGUCAUUGUGAUGCUAAACUAAAUGCAUGACAUUCUUAGCUAAGUGUAUACAAUCUCAAUGUAGGACAUUCUUAUCUGCCAAACCUUUUUUAAAGGCCUUGUUACAGAUUCUGCCUUGUUUUUAUUAUACUUAAAUAUGAAACGGAAAAAAGUAAAAAUGCAAUUUUAUAAAUAGAAUAGAA
Hemicordylus capensis (graceful crag lizard) is the source of this 6193-nucleotide RNA transcript. It is a transcript of the gene named zinc finger protein 260-like, with no coding region annotated. The transcript is spliced from 7 exons. The record is from RefSeq and is a predicted model, not a curated record. NCBI's taxonomy places the organism in Eukaryota, Metazoa, Chordata, Lepidosauria, Squamata, Cordylidae.